AAGUCGUAACAAGGUAACCGUAGGUGAACCUGCGGUUGGAUCAUUACAGAAAAUAUGAUAUUUUUUUUGCUUGUAAGAACAAAUCCGUUUGUUUUUGCAGGCAAAAAGAAAACAAAUCAUAAAUUCAACACCCAACCUGUGAACUGUUUACUGUACUUGUUUGGCAGCCCACCUCAAACAUUUAUGUUUGGCAAGGAGGAGGAUUGGGCAAGAAACAAAAUUUUUUUUUUAAAGUAUUGUUUCUCGCCCGCCCCCUCUGGGGCUGUCGAACGCAAAAUUUAAACAAACUCGUUAUGCGUAUCUUUAUUAGUCUACUUUUUUUUUAAUACAAAAAAAAACUUAUUAAAAGAAAAACAACUUUUGACAACGGAUCUCUUGGCUCUC
RNAcentral lists this unclassified non-coding RNA (384 nucleotides) under fungal sp. RNAcentral's name for it is "partial internal transcribed spacer region". The stretch from base 1 to 46 matches the Rfam family "Eukaryotic small subunit ribosomal RNA", at positions 1786 to 1831 of the family's 1831-position model. The record is from RNAcentral. Lineage: Eukaryota; Fungi.